AGCGAACGCUGGCGGCAGGCCUAACACAUGCAAGUCGAACGAAGUCUUCGGACUUAGUGGCGGACGGGUGAGUAACACGUGGGAACGUGCCUUUAGGUUCGGAAUAACUCAGGGAAACUUGUGCUAAUACCGAAUGUGCCCUUCGGGGGAAAGAUUUAUCGCCUUUAGAGCGGCCCGCGUCUGAUUAGCUAGUUGGUGAGGUAAAGGCUCACCAAGGCGACGAUCAGUAGCUGGUCUGAGAGGAUGAUCAGCCACAUUGGGACUGAGACACGGCCCAAACUCCUACGGGAGGCAGCAGUGGGGAAUCUUGCGCAAUGGGCGAAAGCCUGACGCAGCCAUGCCGCGUGAAUGAUGAAGGUCUUAGGAUUGUAAAAUUCUUUCACCGGGGACAAUAAUGACGGUACCCGGAGAAGAAGCCCCGGCUAACUUCGUGCCAGCCGCCACGGUAA
RNAcentral lists this ribosomal RNA (449 nucleotides) under uncultured bacterium. Its description in RNAcentral is "partial 16S ribosomal RNA". It matches the Rfam family "Bacterial small subunit ribosomal RNA", at positions 29 to 523 of the family's 1533-position model. The record is from RNAcentral.